AAAAAUCUGGGUAGUUCAGAACAGCUGAAUCUAUCAAACAAUGCUUUAACUGAUCAAAAGCAAUCUGACAUGUUUCAUCCCAAAGAAAUCUGCUAUUCUUUUUGGUCAAAUUAAAAAGAGGAGCAGCAAUUUUUGAAAAAUCUUUAAUAAAUCUCCUGUAAUAUGAUGCCAACCCCAAAAAUGACCGGACUUCCUUCAAUCUCUUUGGUACAGGCCAAUCCUGUACUUUAGCUACCUUUUUAGGGUCACACUUUAUCCCAUCCCGAGAAACAUAAUGUCCCAAAUAUUUAACCUCGGACUGAAACAAGUGACACUUUUGAGGUUUUAAUUUGAGACCAGCCUUUUGAAAUUUAUCAAAUACCCUAUCUAAAUCCUGAACAUGUUUAUCAAAUGAUUUUGAAAAAAUAAUGACAUCGUCCAGGUAGAUUAGGCAAAUGUCCCACUGUAAACCCGC
RNAcentral lists this long non-coding RNA (454 nucleotides) under Mytilus galloprovincialis (Mediterranean mussel). Lineage: Eukaryota; Metazoa; Mollusca; Bivalvia; Mytilida; Mytilidae. The record is from RNAcentral.